Molecule: ribosomal RNA, 253 nt
Filed under: uncultured bacterium
Lineage: Bacteria
Description: partial 16S ribosomal RNA
Rfam family: Bacterial small subunit ribosomal RNA
Source: RNAcentral
UACAGAGGGUGCAAGCGUUAAUCGGAAUUACUGGGCGUAAAGCGCGCGUAGGUGGUUUGGUAAGUCGGAUGUGGAAUCCCCGGGCUCAACCUGGGAACUGCAUUCGAAACUGCCUGGCUAGAGUUUGAGAGAGGGAAGUGGAAUUCCACGUGUAGCAGUGAAAUGCGUAGAGAUGUGGAGGAAUACCGAUGGCGAAGGCAGCCCCCUGGGAUAACACUGACGCUCAUGUACGAAAGCGUGGGUAGCAAACAGG